RNAcentral lists this ribosomal RNA (445 nucleotides) under uncultured bacterium. RNAcentral describes it as "partial 16S ribosomal RNA". It matches the Rfam family "Bacterial small subunit ribosomal RNA", at positions 354 to 796 of the family's 1533-position model. The record is from RNAcentral.
GUGAGGAAUAUUGCGCAAUGGAGGCAACUCUGACGCAGCCAUGCCGCGUGCAGGAAGAAGGCGCUACGCGUUGUAAACUGCUUUUAACCGGGAAGAAACCCCAGGACGUGUCCUGGGUUGACGGUACCGGAGGAAUAAGCACCGGCUAACUUCGUGCCAGCAGCCGCGGUAAUACGAAGGGUGCAAGCGUUAUCCGGAUUCAUUGGGUUUAAAGGGUGCGUAGGCAGAGCGUUAAGUCAGUGGUGAAAUCCUGCAGCUUAACUGUAGACUUGCCAUUGAUACUGGCGCUCUUGAGUGCGCUUGAAGUGGGCGGAAUGUGCCGUGUAGCGGUGAAAUGCUUAGAUAUGGCACAGAACACCAAUUGCGAAGGCAGCUCACUAAGGCGAUACUGACGCUGAGGCACGAAAGCGUGGGGAUCGAACAGGAUUAGAUACCCGUGUAGUCC